CCCCCCCCCCCCCCCCCCCCCCCCCCCCCCCCCCCCCCCCCCCCCCCCCCCCCCCCCCCCCCCCCCCCGAACUAGAGCUGAGGGACAGCGGGGACGAGCUGAGGGAGCUGGAACUAGAGCUGAGGGACAGCGGGGACGAGCCGAGGGAACUGGCCGGCUGAGGGAAGCAGGGCGGCCCUGAGGGGGAGCCUGGCCAGUGCGAGCCCUGAAGGAGCCCAGGCUUGUGUGGCUGGGCGAGCACAUAGGACGGAUUCCCUUAAAGUGAGGGAUGCAGUUGUGUGAACCUCCAUAGUCUUCCACGGCAUCUUCCAGGAGAAAUUCCGAAGGGGAAGAUCAAGGCACUGACAGAUGAAGUCUAGUCCAAGAUGAAACAGAAAAGCAGUGGAAGGUUGAGCUCCUGCAAGCUGAAUUACACCUUUAUUCUUCACUUGCUUUCCUGGCAGCAGGAUCUGCAUGCAAGGCUCCUUCCUCUCCACUGCUUUUCACCUACAAGGUCUAAUUGAAGUACUUUUCCACACUUUCCAUAGUUGCACGCUGCAGAAUGCAGUGUGUGGAGGGAGUGCACAGCACCAGAGCAGGUGUCCCCCAUGUUGGAUGAGCUGGUGCAGGAAGAAAAUGACAACCGUGGGGUGCGAUUCGUUCCCUGGCUGA
RNAcentral lists this long non-coding RNA (651 nucleotides) under Ficedula albicollis (Collared flycatcher). RNAcentral describes it as "lncRNA (ENSFALG00000018263.2)". The record is from RNAcentral. Lineage: Eukaryota; Metazoa; Chordata; Aves; Passeriformes; Muscicapidae.